Long non-coding RNA from Mesocricetus auratus (golden hamster), 1753 nucleotides. RefSeq lists it as uncharacterized. The record is from RefSeq and is a predicted model, not a curated record. The transcript is spliced from 2 exons. NCBI's taxonomy places the organism in Eukaryota, Metazoa, Chordata, Mammalia, Rodentia, Cricetidae.
UUUCAUUUCCUGCUUUGGAAUUCUUUCCAGUCACAAGACCCUUGGGUGUCUCCCAGGCCUGUGGCCAAAGUUUGAACAGGAAUGACACGCACGCCUUCCCAUGUGGGCAGCGGUGUUUCUCUGCGAACAGAAUGAAUGGUGUUUCAACGUGGAGUAUGUAAGUUUUUCAAGACGGGGUCCCUCCACCAGAGUUUCCCUAACUCCUCUAGGGCCAGUCUUGGCCACAUCCUGUUCUCUGUCUCCCUUCAACACUGGGCAAACAACAUGGCUCAUUUGACCGGAGAAUUUGGAAAGAGCAACCCAGGCAGCAGUGGUCCAGCCUCCAAGUCCUAGGCUGUCUCCAGAUCAUCUCAGCUUGGAGCUGGGAAGCUGUGCCUUAGGCCAGCAUUGCCCAUCCUCCAGGGACGUGAAAAGUCUGGGCCUUUUGCUAAAAACCAGCAUUAGAGACCCCAUUCGCUGUAGUUGUGACCUCAUCUCCCAUGCACUCUUUAUACUAAAGGGGACUGGUCCUCUGCCUUCUUCAUGGGUUCACAGCUAAGGCUGUUCAGUGGCUUCCCUUUUACCCCAGCGUUGUCUUUACCAUACUUUCUUCUUUUAUUUAAAUACUUCACACUCCAUGCGAUUCAACAUCAUCAACAUUCUACAAUAAGAUAAAAAAACGUUCUCUCUCAAAAGGGAUAAAUCAACCCACAUGUGUGGACUGUAGGGAAAACAGACCAUAGCCAGCCAGCAACAAGAAAGCGCCUGAAGUUUUCUCAGUGCAAAGGUGGUAACUGCUGAACCACAUUGUCCUGAAGAGAACAGCUCCCAGUUAACCCCACUGCUCACACCGACCUACACAGCCUACAACCAGAUCAGCACCUCCCCCCUGCUGCCAGUGGAGACUGCCAGGCCGGCCGAGGUGUGGAAAGAAGCCGUUUGGAGACCCUGCUGAAGGACAGGACUUUACAAAAGAGUCAAACUGUAAAUUCAGGGCUCAGAAGGUAAAGGGCUCGCCAAGCAAGCCUCAGGAGGGAAACCUGGCCCUCAGAAGCCACAUAGAAAAGGCUGGCGUGGAGGCGCACACAUGUUCCCAGCAGUGUUGAGGAGGUGGAGACAGGUGGAUCUCCCAGAGUCCCUAACUGAAUCAGCGAGCACCAAGCCAGUGAGGACCCUACUUCAAGACACUCAAGGUAGACGUCACUGAGUAGAAACGGCACCCAAAGCCAGGCACACUCCAAUCGUGCCUGCUCUCUCCAAAGCCAGGCACACUCCAAUCGUGCCUGCUCUCUUAGCUGUGGCGUGGUUGUGGCUUUGUGCUAAAGAUCUGCUCAGUGGGCGGAGCCUUACCUCUCAUGCAGCUUGCAACCCCGGACGACUCACCUCCCUCCUCCCGCCAGCCACAGCGUUGUCAUCUUAAGCAGAUGGUGAUACUUGUGGCCACCUCAGAGUACCUUGGGGGGGGGGUGUCAGUGAGAAGCGGCAAGCUUGUGUGAGCAGUGUAGCCCCUGGAGGCUCCACAGGAAAAUCAUCACCCUGACAGAGCAUCGAUGAGUUCCCCUAUCUGCCUCCCCUUCUCGGAAGGGAAGGCAGACCUCAUGACCCUAACGUUUAAGUCUUCAUAUUCACACGUUGGUUCCUCACCAUUGUCCUGAAAGCCUGGAAAAAGCAUUAGGUGGCAUCAAGAAGCUAGCAGGAGGGUACUGUAAAGAGAAGCCUUCCUGCCAGCCUGGUUCCAGAGCCGCAUCAGUCCCAAAUAAACCCUUUCUUUUUG